Molecule: ribosomal RNA, 465 nt
Filed under: uncultured bacterium
Lineage: Bacteria
Description: partial 16S ribosomal RNA
Rfam family: Bacterial small subunit ribosomal RNA
Source: RNAcentral
GACGAACGCUGGCGGCGUGCUUAACACAUGCAAGUCGUACGGUAAGGCCCUUUCGGGGGUACACGAGUGGCGAACGGGUGAGUAACACGUCGGUAAGCUCCCCACCACGUGGGGAUAAGGGUCGGAAACUGGUCCUAUACCUCGAUAUGUCCUCGUGCUGCAGGGUGGGGGUUGGGGAGCUCCCGCGGUUGUGGGUGGGGUUGCGGGCUAUAAGCUUGGUGGUGGGGUAAUCGCCUCCAGACGCGGCGGCGGGGAGCCGGACAGAGGGGGUGACCGGCCACAUUGGGACUGAGGGGCGGCCCAGGCUCCUAAGGGAGGCAGCAGGGGGGAAGACUGAUCAAGGGGCGCAGGCCGGAGGCAGCAACGCCGCGGGCGGGAUGACGGCCUUCGGGUUGUAAACCGCUUUCAGCAGGGACGAGGCUUUUUGUGACGGUACCGGAAGAAGAAGCACCGGCUAACUACGUG